RNAcentral lists this ribosomal RNA (253 nucleotides) under uncultured bacterium. RNAcentral describes it as "partial 16S ribosomal RNA". It matches the Rfam family "Bacterial small subunit ribosomal RNA", at positions 524 to 776 of the family's 1533-position model. The record is from RNAcentral.
UACGUAGGGGGCAAGCGUUAUCCGGAAUUACUGGGUGUAAAGGGUGAGUAGGCGGCAUGGUAAGCCAGAUGUGAAAGCCUUGGGCUUAACCCGAGGAUUGCAUUUGGAGCUAUCAAGCUAGAGUACAGGAGAGGAAAGCGGAAUUCCUAGUGUAGCGGUGAAAUGCGUAGAUAUUAGGAAGAACACCAGUGGCGAAGGCGGCUUUCUGGACUGAAACUGACGCUGAGGCACGAAAGCGUGGGGAGCGAACAGG